Molecule: small nucleolar RNA, 99 nt
Filed under: Castor canadensis (American beaver)
Lineage: Eukaryota; Metazoa; Chordata; Mammalia; Rodentia; Castoridae
Description: Small nucleolar RNA SNORA31 (ENSCCNG00000008535.1)
Source: RNAcentral
ACUUAUCUACUGCUAAGGUUUCCACUAUAGAUACAAUAAAAAAGUGUCCUUUCUGUCUGUCUGAUUGUGGCAGCUAAGACUGAGCAGAGGAAUACAUGG